UACGUAGGGCGCAAGCGUUAUCCGGAAUUAUUGGGCGUAAAGAGCUCGUAGGCGGUUUGUCGCGUCUGCCGUGAAAGUCCGGGGCUCAACUCCGGAUCUGCGGUGGGUACGGGCAGACUAGAGUGAUGUAGGGGAGACUGGAAUUCCUGGUGUAGCGGUGAAAUGCGCAGAUAUCAGGAGGAACACCGGUGGCGAAGGCGGGUCUCUGGGCAGUAACUGACGCUGAGGAGCGAAAGCGUGGGGAGCGAUCCGG
Molecule: ribosomal RNA, 253 nt
Filed under: uncultured bacterium
Lineage: Bacteria
Description: partial 16S ribosomal RNA
Rfam family: Bacterial small subunit ribosomal RNA
Source: RNAcentral